This 553-nucleotide long non-coding RNA is filed under the name Gadus morhua (Atlantic cod). RNAcentral's name for it is "lncRNA (ENSGMOG00000028382.1)". Lineage: Eukaryota; Metazoa; Chordata; Actinopteri; Gadiformes; Gadidae. The record is from RNAcentral.
GAUUAAGUUAAACUGGGCCAGUAUGUUUUGAAUAUUCAUUUAUUCAAACAUGUUCUUAGUUUGCUGAGAAAGUCCUGGCAGAGGAGUCUCCUACUUUCCCAAACUCUGAAGGGGCAGUGGUUAAAUACAGGAGGGAAAUUGCUGUAGCACUUCUCAAUGAGACUGGUAUGUUAACCAUUUUGGAACUUCUAUUAACACCAUGAGGAUUUCAAUAUCAUUAAUUCAAUGAAUAUAAAAAAGUCUAGAAAGUUAGUAUGCAUCACUCAUGGUGUAUUUUCCCAUGGAAAUAAGAAGAAAAUAUUAUAUGUAAUCAAUACCUUAUCUUAACCAGAUGAUCUCAGUGAGCUGUGCCACCACUGUGGAGAGGGAGAAGAAGCGCGAGGGGGGUCUCAAGACAGACCUGAUGCCACUGACUGGAUCCAGUGUGACACCUGUGGAAGGUGGUACCACGAGGGUUGUGUUGGGAGACCGGAUAGAGAUCCUAUGUACAGCUGUCCUGCAUGCCACCAGGCUCAAAUGAGUCGAUGCCGUCCAAAACGGUCCAAAAAAAUAA